Molecule: ribosomal RNA, 497 nt
Filed under: uncultured bacterium
Lineage: Bacteria
Description: partial 16S ribosomal RNA
Rfam family: Bacterial small subunit ribosomal RNA
Source: RNAcentral
GACGAACGCUGGCGGCGUGCCUAAUACAUGCAAGUAGAACGCUGAAGAGAGGAGCUUGCUCUUCUUGGAUGAGUUGCGCACGGGUGAGUAACGCGUAGGUAACCUGCCUUGUAGCGGGGGAUAACUAUUGGAAACGAUAGCUAAUACCGCAUAACAAUGGAUGACCCAUGUCAUUUAUUUGAAAGGGGCAAAUGCUCCACUACAAGAUGGACCUGCGUUGUAUUAGCUAGUAGGUGAGGUAACGGCUCACCUAGGCGACGAUACAUAGCCGACCUGAGAGGGUGAUCGGCCACACUGGGACUGAGGCGCGGCCCAGACUCCUACGGGAGGCAGCAGUAGGGAAUCUUCGGCAAUGGGGGCAACCCUGACCGAGCAACGCCGCGUGAGUGAAGAAGGUUUUCGGAUCGUAAAGCUCUGUUGUAAGUCAAGAACGAGUGUGAGAGUGGAAAGUUCACACUGUGACGGUAGCUUACCAGAAAGGGACGGCUAACUACGUG